RNAcentral lists this ribosomal RNA (492 nucleotides) under uncultured bacterium. RNAcentral describes it as "partial 16S ribosomal RNA". It matches the Rfam family "Bacterial small subunit ribosomal RNA", at positions 29 to 507 of the family's 1533-position model. The record is from RNAcentral.
AGUGAACGCUGGCGGUAGGCCUAACACAUGCAAGCCGAACGGCAGCACAGUAAGAGCUUGCUCUUACGGGUGGCGAGUGGCGGACGGGUGAGGAAUACAUCGGAAUCUACUUUUUCGUGGGGGAUAACGUAGGGAAACUUACGCUAAUACCGCAUACGACCUACGGGUGAAAGCAGGGGAUCUUCGGACCUUGCGCGAUUGAAUGAGCCGAUGUCGGAUUAGCUAGUUGGCGGGGUAAAGGCCCACCAAGGCGACGAUCCGUAGCUGGUCUGAGAGGAUGAUCAGCCACACUGGAGCUGAGACACGGUCCAGACUCCUACGGGAGGCAGCAGUGGGGAAUAUUGGACAAUGGGCGCAAGCCUGAUCCAGCCAUACCGCGUGGGUGAAGAAGGCCUUCGGGUUGUAAAGCCCUUUUGUUGGGAAAGAAAAGCAGCAGGUUAAUACCCCGCUGUUCUGACGGUACCCAAAGAAUAAGCACCGGCUAACUUCGUG